AGUGAACGCUGGCGGUAGGCCUAACACAUGCAAGUCGAAGGGCAGCACAGGAGAGCUUGCUCUCUGGGUGGCGAGUGGCGGACGGGUGAGGAAUACAUCGGAAUCUACUCUGUCGUGGGGGAUAACGUAGGGAAACUUACGCUAAUACCGCAUACGACCUACGGGUGAAAGCAGGGGAGCUUCGGACCUUGCGCGAUUGAAUGAGCCGAUGUCGGAUUAGCUAGUUGGCGGGGUAAAGGCCCACCAAGGCGACGAUCCGUAGCUGGUCUGAGAGGAUGAUCAGCCACACUGGAACUGAGACACGGUCCAGACUCCUACGGGAGGCAGCAGUGGGGAAUAUUGGACAAUGGGCGCAAGCCUGAUCCAGCCAUACCGCGUGGGUGAAGAAGGCCUUCGGGUUGUAAAGCCCUUUUGUUGGGAAAGAAAUCCAGCUGGCUAAUACCCGGUUGGGAUGACGGUACCCAAAGAAUAAGCACCGGCCAACUUCGUGCCAGCCGCCGCCGUAA
This 506-nucleotide ribosomal RNA is filed under the name uncultured bacterium. RNAcentral's name for it is "partial 16S ribosomal RNA". It matches the Rfam family "Bacterial small subunit ribosomal RNA", at positions 29 to 523 of the family's 1533-position model. The record is from RNAcentral.